GAUGAACGCUGGCGGCGUGCCUAAUACAUGCAAGUCGAGCGAACAGACGAGGCGCUUGCUCCUCUGACGUUAGCGGCGGACGGGUGAGUAACACGUGGAUAACCUACCUAUAAGACUGGGAUCACUUCGGGAAACCGGAGCUAAUACCGGAUAAUAUAUUGAACCGCAUGGUUCAAUAGUGAACGACGGUUUUGCUGUCACUUAUUGAUGGAUCCGCGCCGCAUUAGCUAGUUGGUAAGGUAACGGCUUACCAAGGCAACGAUGCGUAGCCGACCUGAGAGGAUGAUCGGCCACACUGGAACUGAGACACGGUCCAGACUCCUACGGGAGGCAGCAGUAGGGAAUAUUCCGCAAUGGGCGAAAGCCUGACGGAGCAACGCCGCGUGAGUGAUGAAGGUCUUCGGAUCGUAAAACUCUGUUAUUAGGGAAGAACAAAUGUAUAAGUAACUAUGCACGUCUUGACGGUACCUAAUCAGAAAGCCACGGCUAACUACGUG
This 497-nucleotide ribosomal RNA is filed under the name uncultured bacterium. Its description in RNAcentral is "partial 16S ribosomal RNA". It matches the Rfam family "Bacterial small subunit ribosomal RNA", at positions 28 to 507 of the family's 1533-position model. The record is from RNAcentral.